Molecule: small RNA, 575 nt
Filed under: Pongo abelii (Sumatran orangutan)
Lineage: Eukaryota; Metazoa; Chordata; Mammalia; Primates; Hominidae
Description: retained intron
Source: RNAcentral
AGGAGUCGGUUCGCGCAGGUGCAGCGCCUCGGUCCCCAUGGCGCUGUGGCGCGGCUCCGCGUACGCGGGCUUCCUGGCGCUGGCCGUGGGCUGCGUCUUCCUGCUGGAGCCAGAGCUGCCAGGCUCGGCGCUGCGCUCUCUCUGGAGCUCGCUGUGUCUGGGGCCCGCGCCUGCGCCCCCGGGACCCGUCUCCCCCGAGGGCCGGUUGGCGGCCACCUGGGACGCGCUUAUCGUGCGGCCAGUCCGGCGCUGGCGCCGCGUGGCAGUGGGGUUCUUCUUUGCGGUCCAGUUGGUCCAAAGCUACAUGAGCUUCUUGAUGACAAUGUCUUUGUUCCAUCAGAGUCAUUGCAGGAAGUGGAUGAGUUCCACCUCAUUUUAGAGUAUCAAGCAGGUAAGGAAACGAGUAAGUAAUGGUGGCAAGACCAGUCAAGGGACUGUGUAUUGUCAGAUUGGGGUGUGACCAUGCCAGAAAUUUAUCUUUGUAAAUUAGCAGGAUCCUGUUUUUGCCAUACUGAAAGUUUCCUGACCUAUUGGUUCUACUGAGCUGAUACUGGCCAUUGUCUCAAGGGAGACUG